UACGUAGGGUGCGAGCGUUAAUCGGAAUUACUGGGCGUAAAGCGUGCGCAGGCGGUUUGACAAGUCUGAUGUGAAAUCCCCGGGCUUAACCUGGGAACUGCGCUUGUGACUGCACGGCUAGAGUACGGCAGAGGGGGGUGGAAUUCCACGUGUAGCAGUGAAAUGCGUAGAUAUGUGGAGGAACACCGAUGGCGAAGGCAGCCCCCUGGGCCGAUACUGACGCUCAUGCACGAAAGCGUGGGGAGCAAACAGGAUUAGAAACCCGUGUAGU
This 271-nucleotide ribosomal RNA is filed under the name uncultured bacterium. RNAcentral's name for it is "partial 16S ribosomal RNA". It matches the Rfam family "Bacterial small subunit ribosomal RNA", at positions 524 to 794 of the family's 1533-position model. The record is from RNAcentral.